AAAAAUAAUGCAUUGUAUGCCGGAAGGGAUAAAUCUGGGGCUGAGUACAAGCAAAACAAGACCAAAGGAAGCUACCUGAGCAGGUAUUCCAGAUACUCAUGUCAUACACCAAGGUUGUACCAGUGCCCCUUUCUCUGUGACACAUCCAUCCACUGGAAACUUUCGUACAACUAGCUGAAAGAAGAGAAACAUCCUAUUUCAUGUCACUGGAGCCCUAAUGAUCGCAGCCAUUUCAGGAAAUGCCAUCAAUUACAGUGAGGAGCUCAUUCAGAAGUGAAAGAUGAGUUCCAUUCUCUGUUACUUAGAGGAACACAAUUAUUUCUGGAAAGAGUAUUACACUCAGUAUUCUGCAUUUCAUAUGGCAUUUCAAAGUCCUGAGAAUGACUCUCCGUAGUCUUCUAUGUACUAAUUAAACAUGAACAUGUGGUAAACAACAUGGACUAUUCCAGUGGACAGAAAGCGUCAAGUUAAAAUGUUUAAGUGCCCCAUAUUUUUCUAAGUAUUCUUAUCCAGUUGGUCUGACUGGUCAUUAUCUGUUUUGUAAAACUUCCCAAACAACUCAUCAAUAUUUAAAUAGCUAUCCAAAUUAUAAACUUCAAAUAGCAGAAUCCAAAUGUCAUUUAUGCAUAAUUCAAAAGAACUUUGCUGAAAACAAUCUUUGGAUUACAAUUGCUCUCUAAUCCACCUCUUGAAUUUCUACAUAAGAAUUCAAUGCCAAUGCAAUUCAAAUCAAUUCAUUCAUGGUUGAUGUUAAAACUUCCUUUAAGAGGAUAGUAUGGCAGAAACAAAACUGAAUUUGAACAAGAGGGAAACUGCAGAAGAUAAACAUUUUUUCUGUAGAAAGUUUCCAACUUUUACAUUUUUGUGGUAAUUUUUAACAUUAUAGGUAUAAUUAAAUUAUCACUAAAGUUAUAUCUAUUAAUCCUAAGUGGUUUAAAAUAAUUUCUCUGUUCAAACUGAUGCAGCUCGCUAUUACAAUUUAAUAUAAUUUUUUCAAACUAUAAUUGAUUUCUAAGACUAGUAAAAUUUUUGAGCUACCAUUAACCCCAAAAUAUCUGGAAAAAGAAAAUCAUCAUAGGUAACUCCUGAUGACUCCUACCUCUUUCAGUCACAUACUUAGCAUUAUCUGCUGUACAGGUUUAAAGAAUGUUGGUCACAGGAUUGAAGUGAAUAUUUCAUUUAUGUGUAGCCAAAAUAUUAUCAUAUGAAGCCCAAAAGAAGAGUAAAAUACAUCCUUGUGAUAUUAUUAACAUGACUUUGUGCCAGACAAAGCAUAGUUACUCUACAGAUGGAUUAUGAAUAGAGAAAAAGUGUGUAGUUGAAUUCUUUGGAAUUAUGGACUAUAUUCCAUAAAUCCCAGAUGGAGUCACUAUGAUUAAUGUUACCUCAAUGAAUACAAAAUGAAUAAAUAAUUAUCCUCCACUUACUGUAAAG
RNAcentral lists this long non-coding RNA (1434 nucleotides) under Homo sapiens (human). RNAcentral describes it as "novel transcript". Lineage: Eukaryota; Metazoa; Chordata; Mammalia; Primates; Hominidae. The record is from RNAcentral.